Molecule: ribosomal RNA, 427 nt
Filed under: uncultured bacterium
Lineage: Bacteria
Description: partial 16S ribosomal RNA
Rfam family: Bacterial small subunit ribosomal RNA
Source: RNAcentral
UGGGGAAUCUUGGACAAUGGGGGCAACCCUGAUCCAGCCAUGCCGCGUGUGUGAAGAAGGCUUUUUGGUUGUAAAGCACUUUAAGCAGUGAAGAAGACUCCAUGGUUAAUACCCAUGGACGAUGACAUUAGCUGCAGAAUAAGCACCGGCUAACUCUGUGCCAGCAGCCGCGGUAAUACAGCGGGUGCAAGCGUUAAUCGGAAGUACUGGGCGUAAAGCGAGCGUAGGUGGCUUGAUAAGUCAGAUGUGAAAGCCCCGGGCUUAACCUGGGAACGGCAUCUGAUACUGUUAGGCUAGAGUAGGUGAGAGGAAGGUAGAAUUCCAGGUGUAGCGGUGAAAUGCGUAGAGAUCUGGAGGAAUACCGAUGGCGAAGGCAGCCUUCUGGCAUCAUACUGACACUGAGGUUCGAAAGCGUGGGUAGCAAACA